CAGAUUCUCAUCAAUGCUGGGGGGAUACUUGAGAUAACUGUUUUCCCAGCCAAAUAUGCCAUGGAAUUAUCUUCUGUGGUUUACAAGAGCUGGGUUUUCACUGAGCAUGCACUCCCUGCUGAUCUGCUCAAGAGGUAAAGCACAAAAAAUUGAAUUGUAAAACUUUCUCAUGUCUUAAGAUUUUUGAUGCUUAAUGAAACAAAAAUUUCUGCUACAUUACAGAGGAGUAGCAGUACCAGAUUCAAGCCAACGACAUGGUCUGAGACUUCUGAUAGAAGAUUACCCUUAUGCUGUUGAUGGUUUAGAAGUCUGGUCAGCAAUUGAAACUUGGGUGAUGGAAUAUUGUGCUUUCUACUAUCCAACAGAUGACUUGGUUCGGGAUGACACUGAACUUCAAUCCUGGUG
Molecule: long non-coding RNA, 405 nt
Filed under: Ricinus communis (castor bean)
Lineage: Eukaryota; Viridiplantae; Streptophyta; Magnoliopsida; Malpighiales; Euphorbiaceae
Description: long non-coding RNA (RCOM_LNC000812)
Source: RNAcentral